AAAGAAAAGCAGAAGCACCCGCUUCUCGCCUUGGUGACUAGAGUGACCGGGCUGACGAGUAGAAAUUUAGUCGAGUGAUCGACGUUAGCGGGGUGUGGUUUGCACCCCGCUUUUUUGCUUCUU
Molecule: regulatory RNA element, 123 nt
Rfam family: Ribosomal protein L20 leader
About the family: This family is a putative r-protein leader autoregulatory structure found in B. subtilis and other low-GC Gram-positive bacteria. It is located in the 5' untranslated regions of mRNAs encoding initiation factor 3 followed by ribosomal proteins L35 and L20 (infC-rpmI-rplT). A Rho-independent transcription terminator structure that is probably involved in regulation is included at the 3' end.
Source: Rfam